Molecule: unclassified non-coding RNA, 378 nt
Filed under: uncultured Parachlamydiaceae bacterium
Lineage: Bacteria; Pseudomonadati; Chlamydiota; Chlamydiia; Parachlamydiales; Parachlamydiaceae
Description: contains 16S-23S intergenic spacer region
Source: RNAcentral
UCCUGGUUAACCCAGGCAGUCUCACUAGAGUUCCCACCAUUACGUGCUGGCAACUAGUGAUAAGGGUUGCGCUCGUUGCGGGACUUAACCCAACACCUCACGGCACGAGCUGACGACAGCCAUGCAGCACCUGUGCAGCGGCCCUUGCGGGCUAUGACAUCUCUGCCAUAUUCCACUACAUGUCAAGUCUGGGUAAGGUUCUUCGCGUUGCAUCGAAUUAAACCACAUGCUCCACUGCUUGUGCGGGUCCCCGUCAAUUCUUUUGAGUUUCACCCUUGCGAGUGUACUCCUCAGGCGGUAUACUUAUCGCGUUAGCUACGGCACAGCCGAGGUUGAAUUCAGCUACACCAAGUAUACAUCGUUUACGGCAAGGACUAC